This 497-nucleotide ribosomal RNA is filed under the name uncultured bacterium. RNAcentral's name for it is "partial 16S ribosomal RNA". It matches the Rfam family "Bacterial small subunit ribosomal RNA", at positions 28 to 507 of the family's 1533-position model. The record is from RNAcentral.
GAUGAACGCUGGCGGCGUGCCUAAUACAUGCAAGUCGAACGAACAGACGAGGAGCUUGCUCCUCUGACGUUAGCGGCGGACGGGUGAGUAACACGUGGAUAACCUACCUAUAAGACUGGGAUAACUUCGGGAAACCGGAGCUAAUACCGGAUAAUAUAUUGAACCGCAUGGUUCAAUAGUGAAAGACGGUUUUGCUGUCACUUAUAGAUGGAUCCGCGCCGCAUUAGCUAGUUGGUAAGGUAACGGCCUACCAAGGCAACGAUGCGUAGCCGACCUGAGAGGGUGAUCGGCCACACUGGAACUGAGACACGGUCCAGACUCCUACGGGAGGCAGCAGUAGGGAAUCUUCCGCAAUGGGCGAAAGCCUGACGGAGCAACGCCGCGUGAGUGAUGAAGGUCUUCGGAUCGUAAAACUCUGUUAUUAGGGAAGAACAAAUGUGUAAGUAACUAUGCACGUCUUGACGGUACCUAAUCAGAAAGCCACGGCUAACUACGUG